CGAAUUUCGCCCUUAACAAGGUUUCCGUAGGUGAACCUGCGGAAGGAUCAUUG
Molecule: ribosomal RNA, 53 nt
Filed under: Elaeis oleifera (American oil palm)
Lineage: Eukaryota; Viridiplantae; Streptophyta; Magnoliopsida; Arecales; Arecaceae
Description: partial 18S ribosomal RNA
Source: RNAcentral